GAGACGAAAGGGAAGAAAUAGCAAAAGGAGGCGUGCGGAAUUAUCGCUUUUCUUUUUAUCCAUUCAGAGGGAGACGCAGCUUUCGUUUAUUUUGUUUCUUGUCCAUUAUUUAUUUAUUUAUUUAAAUAACUAAAAAAAUAUCCUCUGCUUCUCUUCCUCAUUGCACCCUUACGUUAUGCCCUUUCCAAAACUCAAUCCAUCAACAUCUCUCUCUCGAUGAAUCUAGGGUUUUGUAACAGUGAAUCUUCACCACCACAGGAGACAAUGUGAAGAAAUUUUUCAUUACAAAAGAAGCGGAAAGCUAAUCUUCCAGUAGUAUGGCAACUGAGAGUCCAAUUAGAAUCUCAGAAGCUGGGGGUAAAUGGCCGUCUCUUAAGGAAGCAGCAGCUUUUGGUCCACCAUCUCAUUCUGUGGUGACAGAGGAUUUGGGUUUAUUUCUGAAGGGCCAUAGGCUCCAUGGUGGUGGAAAGGAUGUGGCACCCAGUCGCAGUGGCAGUGCACCUCCCAGCAUGGAAGGUUCAUAUCUGGCCAUAGAAAACCUCUUACCCCUGCAGAACACCACCCAGAACGCAAGCUUGGCCACUCUAAGCAGAGCUAUGCAAACAUGUGAGUCUGAAGAACAAUUACGAGCUGAUCCGGCUUAUUUGGCAUAUUACAGUUCCAAUGUCAACCUUAACCCUAGACUUCCUCCACCACUUACAUCCCGGGAAAACCACCAUCUAGUGCGUCAUAUUGGGAGUUUUAGAAAUAAUUGGAGGCUGUGUUCCACAGAUGAUAGCGGUAAAAAUUCUUUACCUUUGCCCCAAAGGACUCUUUCAACACACAAGGAGGAGUCUGAAGAUGAUUCAUCACAACAACAGCCAAAUGCUAAUGAAAUAGUUAAGACAAGUGGAAUAUGGCAUAAACCAGAUGCAGCUUCAUUGGCAUCUCAGCACAAAAAUGUGGUUGAUUUAAUUCAGGAAGAUUUUCCUCGCACCAUGUCACCUGUAUAUAAUAAGUCUCUUUCUCUAAGUCAUGGACUGGUGGAUAAACCAAUUGAUUUAGAAGCCAGUUCUAGUUCUUCCCAUGACCCCCUUGUUACUGCAGUAGUGGCUGCCAAACCUACUGUAGGUGCAGAUGAUAUAAGAGUAUCAUCAAGUGUUGAUACCCAUGCCCCUGUUGCAAGCUCAUCAUCUCUUGAAUCCACAGGCAGCAUUGGUGUUAGUGACUUGGACAUUGCAACUGUUGAUUCUCAACUAAAUGCUCUUUGUGUAUCUAAUCUACCAAAUUCAGAAAACUUGAGUUACGAAGAAAAAUGGAAGACCAACUACCAGAAUAAUUUGAUGCAACGCCAGGUAUUCCAGCAGCAAAACAAUACGUCUGAAGUUCCCAAUGCCAAUUAUCAAAGUGUAAAUUCUUUGUACGUUGGUAGGGAACAGUUUCCUUAUAAUUCCAGCAAAUUUUCUGAUGUCCAGCCCCUGUUGCAAUCAUCUGGGUUUACACCUCCCCUAUAUGCCACAGCAGCAGCUUAUAUGACUUCAGCAAAUCCACUUUACACUAAUAUGCAGGCCUCAGGUAUAUAUACUCCACAAUAUGUUGGUGGGUACACUUUAAAUCCCACAACUAUUCCUCCAUAUAUGGCUGCAUACCCUCCUCAUGGUGCUGUACCACUUGUUGUUGAUGGGGCUACUAGUUCCAGUUAUAGUCCACUAACACCAGGGGUUUCAACUGGGGGAAGCAUUUCGCAUGGAGCUGAAAUGGUACAGACAAACAAGUACCCUGGGCAAUUUGGAUUUCCACUGCAGCCUUCUUUUGGUGAUACUAUGUACAUGCAAUAUCAUCAGCAACCUUUUGUGGAGGGAUAUGGUUUUUCUGGUCAUUUUGAUCCAGUGGCACCUAGAGAAAGUGGUGGGAGCCAUAUUAGUCCUUAUGAUUCACAGAGAAGGCCAAGUACCGGUGCUUAUUUGGAUGAGAAAAAAUUACAUGAUCAGAGAACUGGUGCCAAUGUGACCUCAAGAAGAGGUGGAUUAUUGAUUCCUAGUUAUUUUGGACACAUGCCCAAUAUGGGUUUUGUGAUGCAGUAUCCGAGUUCACCACUUGCUAGUCCAGUUUUAUCAGGAUACCCAGAUGGAAGUCCUGGCCAACCAGGAGUUAGGAAUGAAAUGAAACUUUCCCCAGCUUCUGGUAGAAAUGGAGGCAUAAUAUCUGGAUGGCAAGGUCAGAGAUUGUUUGACAGAGCUCAUGACCCCAAAAUUGUUAAUUUUCUUGAAGACUUAAAAUCUGGCAAAGGUCGAAGAUUUGAGUUAUCUGAUAUUAUUGGACAUAUUGUUGAAUUUAGUGCUGAUCAGCAUGGAAGUCGGUUUAUACAGCAGAAGUUGGAAAGUUGUGGUGUUGAAGAGAAGGCUUUGGUGUUCAAAGAGGUUCUUCCACAUGCUUCUAAGUUAAUGACUGAUGUAUUUGGUAACUACGUAAUACAAAAGUUUUUCGAGUAUGGAGGCCCUGAGCAGAGGAGGGAACUUGCAGAUCGACUGUCUGGUCAGAUACUGCCGUUAAGUCUUCAAAUGUAUGGUUGUCGUGUAAUCCAGAAGGCACUUGAGGUUAUUGAGCUUGAACAGAAAGCUCAGCUUGUUCGUGAACUAGAUGGACAUGUUCUGAGAUGUGUUCGUGACCAAAAUGGAAACCAUGUAAUACAAAAGUGCAUUGAAUCUAUUCCAACCAAAAAAAUUGGCUUUAUACUAUCUGCAUUUUGUGGUCAAGUUGCUAUUCUAUCAAAGCAUCCCUAUGGUUGCCGUGUCAUACAGAGAGUUCUAGAGCAUUGCACAGAUGAGAGUCAAUGUCAGUUUAUUGUGGAUGAAAUAUUGGAAUCAGUUUGUGCUCUUGCUGAGGACCAGUAUGGUAAUUAUGUUACCCAGGUACUUGGUCACCAUCUCUCCCAUACCAUAAUUUGACUAUUAGCUUCUGGUGUUUAUGGUUCAUAGUAGAAAGUAACUGUGACAAGUUGGAUGCAUGUGAUGUCCCUUUAUCUGUAUACAAUUAUAAAUUUGAGAAUCUACACAGGGGCUGCAUUGCAAAAAUUACCCAGACUUGUGGCUACAAGCCACCACACACUAAGCAUAAAUCUAUAACAGUCUAUGAUUUGUGAGUCUCAGCAGGUGCUACAUUGCAUGUCUUGGAGAGAGGAAAGCCUCAGGAAAGGAGCCAAAUUAUUAGCAAACUUUCAGGACAUAUUGUUCAAUUAAGCCAGCAUAAGUUUGCUUCAAAUGUUGUAGAGAAAUGUUUGGAGUAUGGUGAUGCUACUGAACGGGAGUUGUUAAUUGCAGAGAUACUUGGGCAUGAUGAACAAAAUGAUAAUCUAUUGACAAUGAUGAAAGACCAAUUUGCGAAUUAUGUGGUCCAGAAGGUUAUUGAUAUCUGUUCUGAAAAUCAGCGAGCAAUGUUGCUUUCUCACAUAAGAGUUCAUGGUCAUGCUUUGAAGAAAUACACUUAUGGAAAACACAUUGUGGCUCGGCUGGAACAUCAAUUUGGAGCAGAGAGUCAAAUACCCGGGUCAUGAUGAGCCUGAGAGGAAACCAUGGGUCGUCAGCAGUGCUGCUGUGGCAUGCAAACCCCACAGCUUCAACAUAUGUUCUAUUGAUUACUGGAAAUAGCUGAUACAUUGAUAGAUUCAACUAAUGAGUAAAACCUGCACCUUGAUUGCUUCCACAUUGAUGGCUUCAGGAAACAUUAGUGUAUGCAUCUAUACUAGGAAACUCAAUGUAAUUGUCAUUCAAAUAAUUGGUUCGCAUGAGUAUAAUUAUUUGGAAGGAAAGCCUUCCUGAUGUAUAAUUUGCUGGAUUUAUCCUACUUUGUGUGUGGUUUUCUUGGACAUAUAGAAAGUCAAGGAUUCUAGUAUUCUACUAGUCCUUGUCGCCUGAGCCCUGCUCCUUG
Molecule: RNA transcript, 3906 nt
Organism: Abrus precatorius (Indian licorice)
Lineage: Eukaryota; Viridiplantae; Streptophyta; Magnoliopsida; Fabales; Fabaceae
Gene name: pumilio homolog 6, chloroplastic-like
Exons: 10
Source: RefSeq, a predicted model, not a curated record